GAGUUUGAUCCUGGCUCAGGAUGAACGCUAGCGGCAGGCUUAAUACAUGCAAGUCGAGGGGCAGCAGCUUUAUAGCAAUAUAGAGGCUGGCGACCGGCAAACGGGUGCGGAACACGUACACAACCUUCCUUGAAUAGGGGGAUAGCCCAUAGAAAUGUGGAUUAAUACCCCGUAAUAUAGCGGUGUGGCAUCACACUGUUAUUAUAGUUUCGGCGAUUCGAGAUGGGUGUGCGGCUGAUUAGGUAGUUGGCGGGGUAAAGGCCCACCAAGCCUUCGAUCAGUAGCUGAUGUGAGAGCAUGAUCAGCCACACGGGCACUGAGACACGGGCCCGACUCCUACGGGAGGCAGCAGUAAGGAAUAUUGGUCAAUGGACGCAAGUCUGAACCAGCCAUGCCGCGUGAAGGAUGAAGGUCCUCUGGAUUGUAAACUUCUUUUAUAGGGGGCGAAAAAAGGUCUUUCUAGAUCACUUGACAGUACCCUAUGAAUAAGCACCGGCUAACUCCGUGCCAGCAGCCGCGGUAAUACGGAGGGUGCAAGCGUUAUCCGGAUUCACUGGGUUUAAAGGGUGCGUAGGCGGGUAGGUAAGUCAGAGGUGAAAUCCUGGAGCUUAACUCCAGAAMUGCCUUUGAUACUAUCUAUCUUGAAUAUGGUGGAGGUAAGCGGAAUAUGUCAUGUAGCGKUGAAAUGCAUAGAUAUGACAUAAAAMACCUAUUGCGAAGGCRCUUACUACGCCUAUAUUGACGCUGAGGCYGAAAGCGUGGGGAUMAACAGGAUAYAUACCCUGUYASUCACKCCYUAAACCAUKGAUUACU
This 813-nucleotide ribosomal RNA is filed under the name uncultured Bacteroidota bacterium. RNAcentral's name for it is "bacterial SSU rRNA". Lineage: Bacteria; Pseudomonadati; Bacteroidota. The record is from RNAcentral.